CCAGUAUGGAGUUUUUACAUAGAGUCCCAGUUUGAGAAUCACCAGUUAUGCUUGUUACACUACCUCUCUUCGUUUGGAAACUCCAGCUGUUCGGCAGAUGAGCUCCUUGUUCAAACCCUAGGUGGAGAAGUGAGGAUGAUGAUGACGACAACAUACACGCGUCGUCUGAAAUGCACAGUGGCCAGAGGGCACCGGAGCUGAAACCAGGAGAAGCUCUCCCUGACGAUGCUGCACACGGACGCUGGCAGGGAUCAGGCACAUCUUCUCCUCACUGCAGAAGCCUGCCUGUGCUCACUGAUUUGGACUGAGGAAGGGAUCAACAGGCUGUCCUUUGCAGUCAUGUUCAUUCUCCAAAACAUGGCAGGCCACUUCCAUUCACCUUUAGCCCUGGGGAAAGCUGUGACACACACAGGCUGCCCUUGACCAGGUGCAACACUUGUGCGCAACAUCAACAAGUAGCGGAGCAGCAACCCAUUGCAUGACUGUGAGUCUGUCGUGAAAUCGGGCCUCUUGCUAAGAAAAGCAAACUUGAAUUGGCAAAACAAGUUAUGUUACAGCACAUUUGAAA
This 568-nucleotide long non-coding RNA is filed under the name Lepisosteus oculatus (spotted gar). RNAcentral describes it as "lncRNA (ENSLOCG00000022255.1)". The record is from RNAcentral. Lineage: Eukaryota; Metazoa; Chordata; Actinopteri; Semionotiformes; Lepisosteidae.